AUUGAACGCUGGCGGAAUGCUUUACACAUGCAAGUCGAACGGCAGCACGGGGGCAACCCUGGUGGCGAGUGGCGAACGGGUGAGUAAUACAUCGGAACGUGCCCAGUCGUGGGGGAUAACGUAGCGAAAGUUACGCUAAUACCGCAUACGAUCUACGGAUGAAAGCGGGGGACCGUAAGGCCUCGCGCGAUUGGAGCGGCCGAUGUCAGAUUAGGUAGUUGGUGAGGUAAAGGCUCACCAAGCCGACGAUCUGUAGCUGGUCUGAGAGGACGACCAACCACACUGGGACUGAGACACGGCCCAGACUCCUACGGGAGGCAGCAGUGGGGAAUUUUGGACAAUGGGCGCAAGCCUGAUCCAGCCAUUCCGCGUGCAGGACGAAGGCCUUCGGGUUGUAAACUGCUUUUGUACGGAACGAAGAGGCUCUGGUUAAUACCUGGGGCUCAUGACGGUACCGUAAGAAUAAGCACCGGCUAACUACGUGCCAGCAGCCGCGGUAA
This 500-nucleotide ribosomal RNA is filed under the name uncultured bacterium. RNAcentral's name for it is "partial 16S ribosomal RNA". It matches the Rfam family "Bacterial small subunit ribosomal RNA", at positions 30 to 523 of the family's 1533-position model. The record is from RNAcentral.